Molecule: ribosomal RNA, 253 nt
Filed under: uncultured bacterium
Lineage: Bacteria
Description: partial 16S ribosomal RNA
Rfam family: Bacterial small subunit ribosomal RNA
Source: RNAcentral
GACGGAGGGGGCUAGCGUUGUUCGGAAUGACUGGGCGUAAAGGGCGCGUAGGCGGCAGAUCAAGUCAGGUGUGAAAGCCUUGGGCUCAACCCAAGAAUUGCGCUUGAUACUGGUCAGCUAGAGGAUGGAAGAGAAAAGCGGAAUUCCUAGUGUAGAGGUGAAAUUCGUAGAUAUUAGGAAGAACACCAGAGGCGAAGGCGGCUUUUUGGUCCAUAACUGACGCUGAGGCGCGAAAGCGUGGGGAGCAAACAGG